CCCGUAAACAAGUUAAAAUGGAAUUGAUCCAUUUUUCUGUGAAAAGUGAAAACGAACAACAGCAACAAGCUUUAGAUUGCAGAAGAGCAGUCUUUCAAAGAUUUUGAUGCAGUGAUAUUUGAGGAAUAGUUUGCUGAAAAUGAACUCGGCAUCAGCCAUCCAAGAUGUAGAUUAUUUGAUCCUCUGGAGUGAAUGGGUGCCGUCAGAGUGAGAGUCCAAAUUUACGUAAGAUUUUUUUUUUUUUUUUUUGCAAAUCUGUUUUGAUGAUGAAACAAACUUACUCUGCAUUCUGGAUGGCCUGAGGUCUGGCAGGAUUGAUCCAUGCAAUUCAGUCCAUCCAUCCACACUGUUCCAGCAUCUCUGCCUGCAGCUGUCACAUCACAUGAUGAUCUGGAUUGAGUUCUGAUGACUGAUAAGCUGCUAAAGCUGGUUUUAGAUCAACAUCAUCACACAAACUGAUGUAAGUAGGGGUCUAAUCCUUGAUGUUUGCUUGUACUGUUCCAAAACUACCUUCAAGUAUAGUUCAGCCCAAACAUGAACAUUC
Molecule: long non-coding RNA, 544 nt
Organism: Onychostoma macrolepis
Lineage: Eukaryota; Metazoa; Chordata; Actinopteri; Cypriniformes; Cyprinidae
Exons: 3
Source: RefSeq, a predicted model, not a curated record